Molecule: transfer RNA, 72 nt
Filed under: Cavia porcellus (domestic guinea pig)
Lineage: Eukaryota; Metazoa; Chordata; Mammalia; Rodentia; Caviidae
Rfam family: tRNA
About the family: Transfer RNA (tRNA) molecules are approximately 80 nucleotides in length. Their secondary structure includes four short double-helical elements and three loops (D, anti-codon, and T loops).
Source: Rfam by way of RNAcentral
GGGAGUGUAGCUGAGUGGUAGAGUACUUGCCUCACAUGUCUGAGGCUCUGGGUUCAAUGUCCAGUACUACCA